CGGGAAAAGCUCAAAUUUAAAAUCUGGCCGUCUUUGGCGGUCCGAGUUGUAAUUUAGAGAAGUGUUACUUGCGCUGGACCGUACACAAGUCUCUUGGAAUAGAGCGUCAUAGAGGGUGAGAAUCCCGUCUGUGGUAUGGACUCCC
Molecule: ribosomal RNA, 145 nt
Filed under: Agaricaceae sp.
Lineage: Eukaryota; Fungi; Basidiomycota; Agaricomycetes; Agaricales; Agaricaceae
Description: partial large subunit ribosomal RNA
Rfam family: Eukaryotic large subunit ribosomal RNA
Source: RNAcentral